RNAcentral lists this ribosomal RNA (329 nucleotides) under uncultured eukaryote. RNAcentral's name for it is "partial 18S ribosomal RNA". It matches the Rfam family "Eukaryotic small subunit ribosomal RNA", at positions 1470 to 1796 of the family's 1831-position model. The record is from RNAcentral.
CCCUUAGAUGUCCGGGGCCGCACGCGCGCUACACUGACACGUUCAUCAAGUCUAUAACCUUGACCGAGAGGUCUGGGUAAUCUUUUAAAAACGUGUCGUGCUGGGGAUAGAUUAUUGCAAUUAUUAAUCUUCAACGAGGAAUUCCUAGUAAACGCAAGUCAUCAACUUGCAUUGAUUACGUCCCUGCCCUUUGUACACACCGCCCGUCGCUACUACCGAUUGAAUGAUUUAGUGAGUACCAGGGACCGAGCGCUUUGGUUGGGUUUCCUUCCCUAGCGCUUGGGAACUGUCGCAAACUUGACCAUUUAGAGGAAGUAAAAGUCGUAACA